RNAcentral lists this long non-coding RNA (1261 nucleotides) under Dicentrarchus labrax (European seabass). RNAcentral describes it as "lncRNA (ENSDLAG00005030915.1)". The record is from RNAcentral. Lineage: Eukaryota; Metazoa; Chordata; Actinopteri; Moronidae.
AGUAAAACUUGUUUUAAAGUUGUAGCUUUGGAAAGCAGAACUAUUUAUACAACACACUCACCACACUGUUGGACACAGAGUUAAACAUUUUCAGUGAAACAUCUGCCGACUCCUCCGGUACAUCCCCGUUCAUUCAGCCAGAUGUUUUUAUUCCACAGCAGCAGCAGCAGCAGCAGCAGACUGGGAGCCUGGUGUUAUUAGUCCACUGUACUCCAGCUUGUCAGCCCUUACUCUCCUGAAGACUUUGUUUACUCACCACAGAGCUACAACUCCGGUCUUAAAGCAGCUCAGUCACCUCCCACUGCUGGCUGACCCGCCCUGCUGCAUCAAUGAAAUGGCAGGACUUUAUUUGUCAGUCCCCGGACCCCAGUUUGAAAGCCGCUUCUGUAACUGACCACCAACCAACCAGACUAUAAGGUAAUUACUGUGCGUAUGUACACGUACACGUACACGUGAGUUUGUUUGUCCGUCUCUGUUCCCCCCAUCAUCUCCAGCUCCCCUUUCAUCUCAGCUACAGUACCCCAUCACCAGGACAACCAAAAUAAACAGCGGGAUUCUGGGUACUGUAUUGACGUGACAACAAAGGAUAAGUGGGCGUGGCCCAGCAGAACCAGAGGAGUGCCACAUCUGGGUUUCAUUAGCAUUGCAGGCCAAUGACAGAUGACUUGUGUUCUGCGUGGCGACACAACGUCAGGCUGGAUGGCGGCCUUCUCUGACAGAGGGGGAAAUGACAUCAUCAUGGGGAACUGAUGUUUCCUGGGCUUCGGGGAGCCAUUUCUGGACCUGGAGGGAUUCAAUUUAGUUGAAUUUUAUUCCGACUGCCAUUAACCGAUACAGUAGUGACAGUGGUCCUGUGGUCCAAGACGAUCUUAGUGAGGUCAUUAAGGUGCCAACUGUCCACACACCGCUGGCUGCCAUAACAACGUGUUAUCUAUCUCUCUCUUCUUCUUCCUUAUCAGUAUUCAUCCUUUGUUAGAGAAUCCUGCUGCCUGGGUCAGUGACAGUGCUCAGCCAUAGAAUGACAAUAGCUUGGACUCAAUUCCUUUAUCUUCAUGGGCUUUCUGUAAAGCGUUUUAAUUUGAUAUUUAUAAUUUAAUCCACGCUUUUGGCAUGCAUAAAAAUAACAAAUAUAAGCAAGGAGUUCCGUCUGACAACUUCAAAUUAGCUCGUACACAGUGGUUCCUGGUUUAUUAAACUCACUCUGUGCAUUUCAUGUGCCUAAGACAUGAUGAUUAUGUUAUAAAAUGAAUCUUAAUAAAAU